UACAGAGGUCUCAAGCGUUGUUCGGAAUCACUGGACGUAAAGCGUGCGUAGGCUGUUUCGUAAGUCGUGUGUGAAAGGCGCGGGCUCAACCCGCGGACGGCACAUGAUACUGCGAGACUAGAGUAAUGGAGGGGGAACCGGAAUUCUCGGUGUAGCAGUGAAAUGCGUAGACAUCGAGAGGAACACUCGUGGCGAAGGCGGGUUCCUGGACAUUAACUGACGCUGAGGCACGAAGGCCAGGGGAGCGAAAGGG
Molecule: ribosomal RNA, 253 nt
Filed under: uncultured bacterium
Lineage: Bacteria
Description: partial 16S ribosomal RNA
Rfam family: Bacterial small subunit ribosomal RNA
Source: RNAcentral